RNAcentral lists this ribosomal RNA (464 nucleotides) under uncultured bacterium. Its description in RNAcentral is "partial 16S ribosomal RNA". It matches the Rfam family "Bacterial small subunit ribosomal RNA", at positions 338 to 795 of the family's 1533-position model. The record is from RNAcentral.
CCUACGGGUGGCAGCAGUGGGGAAUGGUGCGCAAUGAGCGGAAGAGGGACGCAGCGACGCAGCGGGAAUGACGAAGGCCGUCGGGUCGUAAAGGUCUUUCGACAGGGAAGAAAAUGCCUAUAAGUAACUGUGUAUGUAUUGACGGUACCUGUAUAAGCAGCCCCGGCUAACUCCGUGCCAGCAGCCGCGGUAAUACGGAGGAUGCGAGCGUUAUCCGGAUUGAUUGGGUUUAAAGGGUGCGCAGGCGGAAGAUCAAGUCAGCGGUAAAAUUGAGAGGCUCAACCGCUUCGCGCCGUUGAAACUGGUUUUCUUGAGUGAGUGAGAAGUAUGCGGAAUGCGUGGUGUAGCGGUGAAAUGCAUAGAUAUCACGCAGAACUCCGAUUGCGAAGGCAGCAUACCGGCGCUCAACUGACGCUCAUGCACGAAAGUGUGGGUAUCGAACCGGAUUAGAUACCCUUGUAGUC